This 432-nucleotide ribosomal RNA is filed under the name uncultured Desulfobulbus sp. Its description in RNAcentral is "bacterial SSU rRNA". It matches the Rfam family "Bacterial small subunit ribosomal RNA", at positions 956 to 1382 of the family's 1533-position model. The record is from RNAcentral. Lineage: Bacteria; Pseudomonadati; Thermodesulfobacteriota; Desulfobulbia; Desulfobulbales; Desulfobulbaceae.
GCAACGCGAAGAACCUUACCUGGUCUUGACAUCCCGGAGACCCUUAGGAAACUAGGGGUGCUUCCAUCUGGAAGAAUCUGGAGACAGGUGCUGCAUGGCUGUCGUCAGCUCGUGUCGUGAGAUGGUUGGGUUAAGUCCCGCAACGAGCGCAACCCUUGCCUUUAGUUGCCAGCAGUUCGGCUGGGCACUCUAAAGGGACUGCCGGUGUUAAACCGGAGGAAGGUGGGGAUGACGUCAAGUCCUCAUGGCCUUUAUGACCAGGGCUACACACGUACUACAAUGGCCGAUACAAAGGGCAGCGACACUGCGAGGUGAAGCCAAUCCCGUAAAAUCGGUCUCAGUCCGGAUUGGAGUCUGCAACUCGACUCCAUGAAGUUGGAAUCGCUAGUAAUCGUGGAUCAGCAUGCCACGGUGAAUACGUUCCCGGGCCUU